CACGGAGGGUGCGAGCGUUAAUCGGAAUUACUGGGCGUAAAGCGCACGCAGGCGGUUUGUUAAGCUAGAUGUGAAAGCCCCGGGCUCAACCUGGGAUGGUCAUUUAGAACUGGCAGACUAGAGUCUUGGAGAGGGGAGUGGAAUUCCAGGUGUAGCGGUGAAAUGCGUAGAUAUCUGGAGGAACAUCAGUGGCGAAGGCGACUCCCUGGCCAAAGACUGACGCUCANGUGCGAAAGUGUGGGUAGCGAACAGG
This 253-nucleotide ribosomal RNA is filed under the name uncultured bacterium. Its description in RNAcentral is "partial 16S ribosomal RNA". It matches the Rfam family "Bacterial small subunit ribosomal RNA", at positions 524 to 776 of the family's 1533-position model. The record is from RNAcentral.